This 699-nucleotide long non-coding RNA is filed under the name Drosophila guanche. Lineage: Eukaryota; Metazoa; Arthropoda; Insecta; Diptera; Drosophilidae. The record is from RNAcentral.
GGGCUAUAGGGAAGUUACAAAAUUACUUAUACGGUACCAAGGAAGUAAGAAUCUUUACCGAUCACCAGCCCUUAACAUUUGCUGUGUCCGAUAGGAACACAAAUGCCAAAAUCAAACGGUGGAAAGCCUUUAUAGAGGAACAUAACGCUAAGGUGUUCUACAAACCGGGUAAGGAAAACUUCGUGGCCGACGCCCUGUCUAGACAAAACAUUAAUAACCUACACGAAGAGCCUCAGUCCGAUGCUGCCACGGUGCACAGCGAGCUCUCUCUGUCUUACACAGUGGAAACGACGGAUAAGCCCCUCAACUGUUUCAGAAACCAAAUAAUUCUAGAAGAAGCUAGCCAGCCUCUACGGCGAAACUUCAUAAUUUUCGGCGGAAAAACCCGCCACAUUAUUCACUUCAACGAUAAGGACUCACUAAUUAAGUCAGUAAAGGAGGUGGUCAAUUCCAAGGUCGUGAAUGCAAUCCACUGUGAUCUUCCGACUUUAGCUACCCUUCAACAUGCUCUGGUGCUGGAGUUUCCCGCAACCAAGUUCUGGCAUUGCAAAAACUUCGUGAACGAUAUCACAGAUGCAAGCGAGCAGGCUGAAAUAAUUACAGCCGAACACAAUCGCGCCCAUAGGGCAGCCCAAGAAAAUGUUAAGCAGGUCCUUCGUGACUACUAUUUCCCGAAAAUGACCAAACUUGCUAACGAGG